RNAcentral lists this ribosomal RNA (425 nucleotides) under uncultured bacterium. RNAcentral describes it as "partial 16S ribosomal RNA". It matches the Rfam family "Bacterial small subunit ribosomal RNA", at positions 354 to 796 of the family's 1533-position model. The record is from RNAcentral.
GUGGGGGAUAUUGCACAAUGGAGGAAACUCUGAUGCAGCGACGCCGCGUGAGUGAAGAAGUAUUUCGGUAUGUAAAGCUCUAUCAGCAGGGAAGAUAAUGACAGUACCUGACUAAGAAGCCCCGGCUAACUACGUGCCAGCAGCCGCGGUAAUACGUAGGGGGCAAGCGUUAUCCGGAUUUACUGGGUGUACAGGGAGCGUAGACGGAAUGGCAAGUCUGAAGUGAAAUCCUGCGGCUUAACUGCAGAAUUGCUUUGGAAACUGUCAAUCUGGAGUGUUGGAGAGGUAAGCGGAAUUCCUGGUGUAGCGGUGAAAUGCGUAGAUAUCAGGAAGAACACCGGAGGCGAAGGCGGCUUACUGGACAAUAACUGACGUUGAGGCUCGAAAGCGUGGGAAGCAAACAGGAUUAGAUACCCGAGUAGUCC